AAGAUAUGUAUAGGGUCUAAUGUUGUGCUGUGCGGACCCCUAGGUAUUCGUGUGGAAUGGGAUCUCACAUACCCAGGUCAGGAUUACCCCCAUCUAACGAUGCACCUAAACUUGUUCAUCUUUCCUAUAUAGGGGAAGAACCUCAUCCCCCUCAUCCCUUUAUAGUCGUAUGGGGUAAAGAACAUAUCCCACGAGAGAAAAUCUUCCUAAAAGAAUGGCUUGUA
RNAcentral lists this long non-coding RNA (224 nucleotides) under Amborella trichopoda. RNAcentral describes it as "long non-coding RNA (ATRI_LNC004892)". The record is from RNAcentral. Lineage: Eukaryota; Viridiplantae; Streptophyta; Magnoliopsida; Amborellales; Amborellaceae.